Dasypus novemcinctus (nine-banded armadillo) is the source of this 1721-nucleotide long non-coding RNA. Lineage: Eukaryota; Metazoa; Chordata; Mammalia; Cingulata; Dasypodidae. The record is from Ensembl.
AUGGUAGCUGUUCCAUGGGAGGUGCCAGCCUUGGAGCUGCUGCGGGCACCGCAAAUGUGGGGAAGUGAGCCUGGGGCUGCGGGACACCCAGGCCCAGCCACGGAGCCGCGGGAGGGGGCGGCAGGGGAGGGUCUGAGAGGUCAGCUGGAGGGAGAGGCCGGAUGGGAAUGUGCGCCGCCUGCACGAGGGCCGGGGCAAGCGCAGUGCCCCAGGGUCCUCCCCAAGGAGCUGGGCCUCUGCCUCCGUCCUCUGCCUGCAGACCUGAGUUCUACUGCAAUUCUGGGGCAUUUAAAGGCACCCUCCCAAAGGGCUGAAGAGUCACUUGGGGUUGGAGAGCCAGCUCUGGGGAGGCGGGAAGGGGGGGCGAAGACCUGCCACCCCAUCUCCCACCUCCUCAGGGUCAUCCCAGGCAUCGACAGAAGACAAGGCACAGUCCUCCCAGCACAGUCACCAGGAAGAGGAAGAGAGAGCAAGCGGAACCCGAUACAGCCUCCUAUGAAGGCACCACGAGAGCGACAGCCCCUUUCUGCAGUUUCUGGGUCAGGGAAGUCGGGGGUCUGGCGGUGGAGGAGUGACAGGCUCGAUUACACCAGGAAAUCAAAAAGCGCUCAGCCCCUAGACUGGAACUCAUCUGGGCUGGUCCUGCCUGCUGGUGCCUAGCUCUGGCCUCCCCCGGCUGGCUCUUGACUGUCCAGGCCAGAGCCUGCAGAUGCCCGGAGGCUUCGCUGGACCAGUCUGCUGACCACUGCCUGAACCCUUCAGUCCCUCCAUGGACUAAAUUAGCUGCUGCCUUGACCCAUCAGCCUGUGAACUUCUUUGCUCUGUCAGUCCCUUUCCUAGACCACAUCCAUGGGUCUCAGUCUGUGUCUACCUUCCUGUUUCCCUCAUUUUCUCACUCUUAUAAUUCAACAAAUAUUUUUAGAAAAAAUGCUUUUAUGCGAAUAAAAGGGCGAGGCCAUGAACCAAACUGGUUCUUUGGAAAUCUUGGUUCUGGUCUUGCUAGCUCUUUCAGUUAUUUACAAGUCUUUUAAAAUUUUCUGGGAUAUAUGGGUGGUUUUGUUUGUGUUUUAAGCCACCAUUUUGUUUUCAUUUCUAACUACUGCAUUGUGGUGUGUAGAAAUAGCCUACAUAUUAUUUUUUGGGUGGGAGGAUAUAUUUCGGUUUACUUUGUGGCUCGCUCUAUGGUCAAUUUUUGUGAGUCCUCCAUGUAUCUGUGAAAAUAAUGUGUAUUUUCUUGUGAGUAUGCAGUUCUAAAUAUUUCUAUUAGAUAGGGCUACUGUGUUACUCAAAUCAUCUUUAUCUUUCUCAUUUUUUCUUUUUUUUAAUUACAGUUAAUGAACCACAAGGAAUGUUACAUUAAAAAACAUAAAAAAACAAAAAACGUAAGAGGUUCCCAUAUAUCCCACUCCCCACCCCCACCUCAUCAUUUUUGUAAACUGUAUUUUUUUGAAGAUACAUACAUCACAAAAAAAAAUGUUAUAUUAAAAAAUAUAAGAGGUUCCUGUAUACCCCCACCCACCCCACUCUUCCUACACCAACAACCUCCCCCAUCAUUGUGGCACUCUCAUUGUACUCAGUGAACACAUUUUGGGGCACUGCUGCACUAUACAGAUAAUGGUUUACCCUGUAGUUCACACUCUCCCCCAGUACAUUCAGUGGGUUAUGGCAGGAUAUAUAAAGCCCAGCAUCUGACCCUGCAAUAUCAUUUAGGACAACACAAA